UUCCUUUGAAGGCUGGCUGCCCCCAUUAUUUCCUGCUCUUCACUGCCCUAAGUGCCACUGGCUUGCCCACAGCUUUUUUGUUAACUAUUAAGGCUUUAAUAAGCUCAGAGGUCAAGCUGAUAAAGCCAAGAUCUUGACCAGCUGAAUCCAUCACAAAUAGCAAAACAAUUUUUACAAAAGGGUCAUCUUCAUAUGAGUUCCAGUAAUUCAGGCAAAUUCCACUUUGAGUUAAUUUCAUGCUGCAUUUCUGAAUUCCCACUGCAGUUUCUACUGAAUGUAAUAGUGAUUGUGGGUUUUUCCCUUGUUCCAUCCAAAGAGUUGGUGACAGGCAACAAGCCUACAGCAGCUGCCCUAUUUCACUGGGGAGAGAGGCCGCAUGUGCAUCCUGAAUGAAACCAUCUGCUAGAAUUUUCUAGCACUCCGCUAAGGAACAGAAAGAAGGAGAAUUUUCCAAGAAGCUUCAUUAAAGGUGCUCCUGCCAUUGUAACCCCGUCUGCCAUGAGCUCCUCCCCAGAGACUAAACCACUGUGAUCUCCUGAGCUUGGAUUUUCAAUCCCCAAUCUAAGAGGUGUUUGAUGAACUACAGACAGGACGAGGAGGCUGGUGCAUGGCUUCAAAGUAACAGGAUUCUGGUGAGAAGGAAAGAAAAAUCGAGCAGCUUGUCAUAUUCUAACAGGAUAUUGCCAUUUAUUUAGUGUUGUCUGAAAAUAACAACCAAGCCAUUAGCCAAGAAUAAGGAAACUACAUGAGCUAAUCAUGACAGAGUCAGGAUAAAGACCAUGGCUAAUACCUUGUUUGCUCCAUGAUCAACAUGUUUCUACUAAGGCAAUUAACAAGAUACAGAGGAAAAAUCCUGACAGCUCUUCUGCCACUUACUAGGCUAGUGGCACUGAGCUAGACUAUUUUAUUUCUAUGAACCUCAUUCUGGGUGCAGGCAAAAUGAAGAUAAAAAAUAACCUUAAUCCUCAUAAUCUUAAAAAGGAGCUGUGGAGUUAAGUAAUAUAACAUUUGUUAGGUUAGGGCUUGGAUGCAUCAAAGGUAGAAUGCAAGCAACUCUUGGGUAGCCUGGAUGUUUUCAUUUUAAGGGCUGAACCAGAAGGGCAAUGUUUAAAGCAAAUGAACUGACUAAAGUGAAAAAUUCCAGACUGUGUAAAUGAAUCUAAAGAGGGAGUAUUAUGUGCAAAUCACAAGUUCUCAUAAGGGCUGCAAAGAUGGAGAGGUCAAGUACCUAAUACAUGGACAUUAUAACACAGGUCAGUUGUACCAUAAAUAUCAGUUGCACGAAACAAGUUGAGAUUAUUUGUUUUGCUUUGUGUUUUUCUAAUCAGAGCCAGAAAGUCAUAAGAGCUCUGAGCAUCAGAGCUCAUUCUUAACAGAAUGAUAGAGGCCCACCAUUCCUUUCCCAAAAUUUUGGAGCCAGAUGUGUUUUGGAAUUUAGGAUUUUUCAGACUUUAUAAAGGUAAUGUGGAUCAUAUACUAUAUACUGUAUAAUAACACCAGUGUAGUGUGGGGUAAAGAAAUAUUUCUA
Molecule: non-coding RNA, 1528 nt
Organism: Oryctolagus cuniculus (rabbit)
Lineage: Eukaryota; Metazoa; Chordata; Mammalia; Lagomorpha; Leporidae
Source: RefSeq, a predicted model, not a curated record